This 2149-nucleotide long non-coding RNA is filed under the name Solanum lycopersicum (tomato). RNAcentral describes it as "long non-coding RNA (SLYC_LNC000743)". The record is from RNAcentral. Lineage: Eukaryota; Viridiplantae; Streptophyta; Magnoliopsida; Solanales; Solanaceae.
AAUCUUCUCUUUUGUAGAAUCCUAAUUUUCUCUUCUCCUCACCAACCCAAUCAUCCAAAAAUGGUGACCUAAUUCAUGCUUUUUUUUCUUUAUUUUUCUCAAAUCUUAGCUCUUCAAACCUCAAAUCUUAGCUCUUCAAACCUAAAAGUUGAAUCUUUGAAGGAAUAAUUGUUCUUCAAAAUGUAAGCUUCAAACCUAUUCUUCUUUAUCUAUUUAUGUUGAUUUUUAUUUCGUCCCUUUUUUUUAUUAUUUGGUUUUUUUCUAGAUUCUUGUUACUCUAAUGGAAGAGAAAUCUUCAGAUUCGAUCUUCUAGGUUUGAGAGAAGAGAAAGAAUGAGAAUCACGGGCUUAGGGGAUUUAGGGAUAUUUGUUUAUAAGUGGGUCGGGUUGUAUUUUGGGAACGGGUAAGAUAAUUUUUAAAUCCUUAGGCGACGUGAACCACUAAAAACACGCUUGUGUAACAAUGCCCAACCUUCAACUGGGCUAGAGCUCGGAAGGUUAAAAAUAAUUCACAUCAAACAUCUUAAGGGGGGUAAUAAACACCCUUGUAGUUUAAGUACUAAAGCGAGUUUUCAUGCCAAGUUCAAUGUGGGUUUUGGGGGUCUUUUCCCUAAGUUGGAAAAUGAAUAUUUUUUUAUUUGGAUCUUGUUUCUUGAUCGAUUUUAAUUGGGGUUUCAAUCAUGAAUCCCUCUUUACUUGUAGGACUUGAUUUUUAACUAAAAAUUUGAUUUUAGCCUUUUAAUUUUUGAAGUGAUAUUUGGACUAAUUUAUCCCCGAUUUCAAGUCUUAUCAAUAUGAAUAAUAUUGGAGUCUUUUUAUUAACUUUUUCCAUUCUUGAUAGUUAAGGAUCGUUCAGGUGAUUAUGUGGUUGAUGAUCUACUCUGAUAAGGUUCUCCGAGUGACGUUUCAGUAUUGAGGUAGGUUUGGCUAUUCUUAUUUUAAAUUAAAAUGAGUAAUUAACCUCUUUUAGAAAGUUAACUGCAAAAUGAGUAGUAGCAUGAAUCUCAGAAAUUAAUAUAUGUUCACCUUCUUGUUUAGUUCAUAUAAUGCCUAUUUGUGAGCUUAGCCUGGGGGGGGGGGGGCUUGUGUGAUAUAUGUAAAUGUUGUGAUAUUUGAGUAAUUGUCCGAGUGAAAGGUUGUGUGACCUAUCUUUCUAUUUGACAUUGGUUUAUCCGAGUUAGGGGCUUGAGUUGAUUUUUAAACAUCUUAAAAUAAAAGAAACUCUUUCUAAGUGGUGAAAAUUGAAUUCAAAUUAUUUCUCCUCUAUCUUUAUCAUUUAAAAUGUAUUUCAUGACUUGUUGAGCUUGAGAACUUGAUACUAUUUGAAAAAUCUUGAUGAAACAAUUAUGCCUUGUGUUGUAUGUGUCUUUUGCAUUCAUCCUCUCAUUGUUUAUGAAAAUACGAGAAAGUGGAGGAAUACUAUCUUUUUGAGAAAAAAAAAUGAAACUCCAUAUUUAUAUCCUUAACCACGAGUUAAGUGACAAGUUGAUGAGAUUAUAAGAACUAUAUGUAUGUGGACUGCAAGUCCAGCAUGAGUCCUUUUUUGGAAGCUAAAUGCUCGGCAAAGUGUAUACGACAUGUUGUGCGACGACCUUGAUACCACCACAUCAUCCUGUCACUUUAUGAUCAUCUCAUUACAUCACAUUGACCAACUUUAUUGUGUUGUGUAAUUUGUUUAUAUGUCGAUUUAAAUGUUAAUUCUACUAUCAUGUGUUUACAUUAUUCAUGUUGUUUUAUAUAAAUGAGCGACAUCGAUGUUGGAAUGAGAUCUUUCUGUGUGUAGGACUGAAAGCGCUUAAUAGCUUAUUUUGAAGUCUCUUUAGUUGCUUACAUUCAGUCGGUCUGACUUACUGAGUACAUCUGGAUUGCGGCUGAUCCUCGUUGCGGCUGGUUAGAUCCAUCAUAUUUCUUUCUUUCGCGGUUGUGUGUGAUCUUAAAUUAAUUUGAUUUACUUGUACUUCAAAUAUUUCUUUAUUCCUAUCAAAAAUACAACUAUCUAAGAUGUUUCUUAAGAAAAUAACAAAAAAUAUGAUAUGGUUAAUGACAUUAAAAUAUUCAACAAAAAAAUAAUAAUGAAAUCGCGUGAAACAAAUAUUGCAAAUUAACAAUGUCAUAAUGAAAAUGACCAUAAUUUAAAAGUACUAAAUCAU